UACGUAGGGUGCAAGCGUUGUCCGGAAUCAUUGGGCGGAAAGAGCGUGUAGGCGGCCCGAUAAGUCCGCUGUGAAAUUCCAGGGCUCAACCCUGGAAUGCCGGUGGAUACUGUCGGGCUCGAAUCCGGAAGAGGUGAGUGGAAUUCCUGGUGUAGCGGUGAAAUGCGAAGAUAUCAGGAGGAACACCAAGGGCGAAGGCAGCUCACUGGGACGGUAGUGACGCUGAGACGCGAAAGCGUGGGGAGCAAACAGG
Molecule: ribosomal RNA, 253 nt
Filed under: uncultured bacterium
Lineage: Bacteria
Description: partial 16S ribosomal RNA
Rfam family: Bacterial small subunit ribosomal RNA
Source: RNAcentral